CUUUUUCAUUUGGUCAACUUAAGUGAAUUUUUUUUUGUCAGUUUCCUUGUAGGAUAUUAUGUCAAAGUCUUAUUUAUACUAUAUAUUAUUGCUUUGGUGGUGAGUCGCAUUUGUGGGGACGGUGUUACUUUACUGAUGGAUUUAGGUAGGAGGCAUCCACUGUCCCCCAUUUCGCUAGCUUAAGUUUAAUAUGAAGAUGCACUUAAGCAUGAACGCCCGUUUUGAUCUUUUUCACUUGUACCGCGAAGAGCUUGUUUUACUGUUUUUCCGUCUGCAUCCCGAGAACUAGUUGAUCUCCCAAUGCACACUUUAGACUUUAUUCAAACCGAAGUCGGUUUUGUAAUUUAAAAAUUUUUACCCACUGUAAAGUACAAACAAUUCAUCGCUAUGUUAGUUGUGUACGCUACUAGCGCAUCACAUGAUUACAUGUUAAUCAACAAAAACGAAAAUGUUUAUUGUCAAUCUAAAAAUACAUAUGUCCGUUAAGACAAAAGUAUGAGGCUGGAUGGAAUGAGCAAUGGUAGCAAAAGGUUUCCGAAAUGGUCAUAUCAUUUUUUCAAUUUUUGCUGAUCUCAAAUACCUCAACUUGUUUUAUUCAUAUAAAUAAUUUGUUUUUGCAUAUAAUCAUAAUAAUCAAAUUCAUUACCAUCUUUAACACAACAAACUUGCAUGAUAUUUAUUCUUGUUUGCUCUUACAUUCGGCAUCCAACGAUCAUGGGUAACUUGAUACCUGUGGCUUAAGGAGCUUGUAGCAUGCCAUGAUUCUGCUGGCAGACACCAAAUUUGAGGCA
Molecule: non-coding RNA, 791 nt
Organism: Schizosaccharomyces pombe (fission yeast)
Lineage: Eukaryota; Fungi; Ascomycota; Schizosaccharomycetes; Schizosaccharomycetales; Schizosaccharomycetaceae
Source: the annotation of a GenBank genome assembly